AGAGUUUGAUCAUGGCUCAGGAUGAACGCUGGCGGCGUGCUUAACACAUGCAAGUCGAACGAUGAAGCCCAGCUUGCUGGGUGGAUUAGUGGCGAACGGGUGAGUAACACGUGAGUAACCUGCCCCCGACUCUGGGAUAAGCCUGGGAAACUGGGUCUAAUACCGGAUAUGACCUCCUACCGCAUGGUGGGUGGUGGAAAGAUUUAUCGGUGGGGGAUGGACUCGCGGCCUAUCAGCUUGUUGGUGAGGUAAUGGCUCACCAAGGCGACGACGGGUAGCCGGCCUGAGAGGGUGACCGGCCAUACUGGGACUGAGACACGGCCCAGACUCCUACGGGAGGCAGCAGUGGGGAAUAUUGCACAAUGGGCGAAAGCCUGAUGCAGCGACGCCGCGUGAGGGAUGACGGCCUUCGGGUUGUAAACCUCUUUCAGUAGGGAAGAAGCGAAAGUGACGGUACCUGCAGAAGAAGCGCCGGCUAACUACGUGCCAGCAGCCGCGGUAAUA
This 504-nucleotide ribosomal RNA is filed under the name uncultured Arthrobacter sp. RNAcentral's name for it is "bacterial SSU rRNA". It matches the Rfam family "Bacterial small subunit ribosomal RNA", at positions 8 to 525 of the family's 1533-position model. Lineage: Bacteria; Bacillati; Actinomycetota; Actinomycetes; Micrococcales; Micrococcaceae. The record is from RNAcentral.